RNAcentral lists this ribosomal RNA (480 nucleotides) under uncultured bacterium. Its description in RNAcentral is "bacterial SSU rRNA". It matches the Rfam family "Bacterial small subunit ribosomal RNA", at positions 30 to 506 of the family's 1533-position model. The record is from RNAcentral.
UUGAACGCUGGCGGCAUGCCUUACACAUGCAAGUCGAACGGUAACAGGUCUUCGGAUGCUGACGAGUGGCGAACGGGUGAGUAAUACAUCGGAACGUGCCCGAUCGUGGGGGAUAACGGAGCGAAAGCUUUGCUAAUACCGCAUACGAUCUACGGAUGAAAGCAGGGGACCGCAAGGCCUUGCGCGGACGGAGCGGCCGAUGGCAGAUUAGGUAGUUGGUGGGGUAAAGGCCUACCAAGGCGACGAUCCGUAGCGGGUCUGAGAGGACGGCCCGCCACACUGGAACUGAGACACGGUCCAGACUCCUACGGGAGGCAGCAGUGGGGAAUUUUGGACAAUGGGCGCAAGCCUGAUCCAGCCAUUCCGCGUGAGUGAAGAAGGCCUUCGGGUUGUAAAGCUCUUUCGGCAGGAACGAAACGGUGAGGGCUAAUAUCCCUUGCUAAUGACGGUACCUGAAGAAGAAGCACCGGCUAACUACGU